This 468-nucleotide ribosomal RNA is filed under the name uncultured bacterium. Its description in RNAcentral is "partial 16S ribosomal RNA". It matches the Rfam family "Bacterial small subunit ribosomal RNA", at positions 28 to 507 of the family's 1533-position model. The record is from RNAcentral.
GACGAACGCUGGCGGCGUGCUUAACACAUGCAAGUCGAACGGAAAGGCCCUGCUUUUGCGGGGUGCUCGAGUGGCGAACGGGUGAGUAACACGUGAGUAACCUGCCCUUGACUUUGGGAUAACUUCAGGAAACUGGGGCUAAUACCGGAUAGGAGCUCCUGCUGCAUGGUGGGGGUUGGAAAGUUUCGGCGGUUGGGGAUGGACUCGCGGCUUAUCAGCUUGUUGGUGGGGUAGUGGCUUACCAAGGCUUUGACGGGUAGCCGGCCUGAGAGGGUGACCGGCCACAUUGGGACUGAGAUACGACCCAGACUCCUACGGGAGGCAGCAGUGGGGAAUAUUGCACAAUGGGCGGAAGCCUGAUGCAGCAACGCCGCGUGCGGGAUGACGGCCUUCGGGUUGUAAACCGCUUUCGCCUGCGACGAAGCGUGAGUGACGGUAAUGGGUAAAGAAGCACCGGCUAACUACGUG